GGASGGUGCGAGCGUUGCUCGGAAUCACUGGGCGUAAAGCGUACGCAGGCCGUUUUGUAAGUCGGGUGUGAAAGCCCGGGGCUCAACCCCGGAACUGCGCCCGAGACUGCAGGACUUGAAUGCGGGAGAGGAAAGCGGAAUUCCUGGUGUAGAGGUGAAAUUCGUAGAUAUCAGGAGGAACACCUGUGGCGAAAGCGGCUUUCUGGCCCGACAUUGACGCUCAUGUACGAAAGCGCGGGGAGCAAACAGGAUUAGAUACCCUGGUAGUCCGCGCCGUAAACGAUGAGUGCUAGCUGCUGGGAAUGUUUACCGUUUCAGUGGCGAAGCUAACGCAUUAAGCACUCCGCCUGGGAAGUACGGCCGCAAGGCUA
Molecule: ribosomal RNA, 371 nt
Filed under: uncultured bacterium
Lineage: Bacteria
Description: bacterial SSU rRNA
Rfam family: Bacterial small subunit ribosomal RNA
Source: RNAcentral